GACGAACGCUGGCGGCGUGCUUAACACAUGCAAGUCGAACGGAAAGGCCUUUUCUGAGGUACUCGAGUGGCGCACGGGUGAGUAACACGUGGGUGAUCUGCCCUGCUCUCUGGGAUAAGCCUGGGAAACUGGGUCUAAUACCGGAUAGGGCCGCACUUUAGUGUGUGUGGUGGUAAGUUUUUUCGGUGUAGGAUUAGCCCGCUGCCUAUCAUCUUGUUGGUGGGGUAAUGGCUUACCAAGGCGGCGACGGGUAGCCGGACUGGGAGGUUGGUCGUCCGCAUUGGGACUGAGAUAAGGCCCAGACUCCUACGGGGGGCAGAAGAGGGGAAUAUUGCACAAUGGGGGCAAGCCUGAUGCAGAGAAGCCGCGUGGUGGAUGACGGCCUUCGAGUUGUAAACUCCUUUCGCCAGGGACGAAGCGUUUUGUGACGGUACCUGGAGAAGAAGCACCGGCUAACUACGUG
RNAcentral lists this ribosomal RNA (463 nucleotides) under uncultured bacterium. RNAcentral describes it as "partial 16S ribosomal RNA". It matches the Rfam family "Bacterial small subunit ribosomal RNA", at positions 28 to 507 of the family's 1533-position model. The record is from RNAcentral.